RNAcentral lists this unclassified non-coding RNA (205 nucleotides) under plant metagenome. RNAcentral describes it as "partial contains small subunit ribosomal RNA and internal transcribed spacer 1". The record is from RNAcentral.
AAAGUCGUAACAAGGCUUCCGUGGUGAACCUGCGGAAGGAUCAUUAGUGUAAUAACGUGGUUGUCUUCGCGUUCGGCAAGGCAUCCGCACCCUCACAUCCAUAACACCUGUGAAACCCGUAAGAUCGUGGUUGACUCGUUGCCCAUCUGCCCCUUUAUCAAACAUCAGUAGUAAUAAAAGUAGUUAUAUUUAUAAUCUAAUAAAA